This 402-nucleotide ribosomal RNA is filed under the name uncultured bacterium. Its description in RNAcentral is "bacterial SSU rRNA". It matches the Rfam family "Bacterial small subunit ribosomal RNA", at positions 362 to 757 of the family's 1533-position model. The record is from RNAcentral.
UUUUGGACAAUGGGGGCAACCCUGAUCCAGCAAUGCCGCGUGAGUGAAGAAGGCCUUCGGGUUGUAAAGCUCUUUUCUCAGGGAAGAAACACCGGCUCUAACACAGUCCGGGAAUGACGGUACCUGAAGAAUAAGCACCGGCUAACUACGUGCCAGCAGCCGCGGUAAUACGUAGGGUGCAAGCGUUAAUCGGAAUUACUGGGCGUAAAGCGUGCGCAGGCGGUUAUACAAGACAGGCGUGAAAUCCCCGGGCUUAACCUGGGAAUGGCGCCUGUGACUGUAUAGCUAGAGUGUGUCAGAGGGGGGUAGAAUUCCACGUGUAGCAGUGAAAUGCGUAGAUAUGUGGAGGAAUACCAAUGGCGAAGGCAGCCCCCUGGGAUAACACUGACGCUCAUGCACGAA